GGUUGGCUAAUACCGCGUACGCUUCCCGGUUCACGGAUCGGGAAGGAAAGCCGGGCCGAGGGCUCGGCGCUCGUGGAUGGGCUCAUGCCCUAUCAGCUUGUUGGUGAGGUAACGGCUCACCAAGGCUACGACGGGUAGCUGGUCUGAGAGGACGAUCAGCCACACUGGCACUGCGACACGGGCCAGACUCCUACGGGAGGCAGCAGUAAGGAAUAUUGCGCAAUGGGCGAAAGCCUGACGCAGCGACGCCGCGUGGGGGAUGAAGGUCUUCGGAUUGUAAACCCCUUUCGGGAGGGAAGAUGGGACGAGCAAUCGUUCGGACGGUACCUCCAGAAGCAGCCACGGCUAACUUCGUGCCAGCAGCCGCGGUAAUACGAAGGGGGCGAGCGUUGUUCGGAUUUACUGGGCGUAAAGAGCGCGUAGGCGGCUGGAUAAGUCCGUUGUGAAAUCCCCCGGCUCAACCGGGGACCCGCUUCGGAAACUGUCCGGCUUGAGUCGCGGAGAGGAGAGCGGAAUUCCCAGUGUAGCGGUGAAAUGCGUAGAUAUUGGGAGGAACACCGGUGGCGAAGGCGGCUCUCUGGACGCGUACUGACGCUGAGGCGCGAAAGCUAGGGGAGCAAACGGGAUUAGAUACCCCGGUAGUCCUAGCCGUAAACGAUGGGCACUAGGUGUGGGAGGUAUCGACCCCUUCCGUGCCGCAGCUAACGCA
RNAcentral lists this ribosomal RNA (709 nucleotides) under uncultured bacterium. RNAcentral's name for it is "bacterial SSU rRNA". It matches the Rfam family "Bacterial small subunit ribosomal RNA", at positions 157 to 859 of the family's 1533-position model. The record is from RNAcentral.